GGGAAAAUGAGAGGAUUUAUCUUUUCCUCAUCAAGUGCUGUUUUUUGCAUACAAUGGUUCUGAGAAGAGCUCUGAAAUGAAAAUGAGGAGGAAUAACAUCAACUAGGCUAAUUAGAAAUAACAAUUGUCAACAGGAAAGAAGAAACAGAAGUAUAGUGUUGCCAGAGCUAGAAGCAAAGCUCUAGGACACGCUACUGCACUUCAGUCACUACGCAGUGCAUACAGGACAUAAUGCUGGCAGAAGUCUCAGGUCCAAGGAAGAACCAUAAUUCACCUCCAUCAACACCCAAGGAAAUGAAAUUUGGCUUCCACGAGACAGCUCUGACGAAACACAAUGGCUUUGCUGGACUUGACCAUUUUACCCUUCAUCUCAGCUAACUUGUCUUCAGCCACCAUUAAACAAGAAGAAGCAGCUGCUGGAAUCUAGGUAAAUAUAACUUUGAUUUCUCUCCAAGUUCUACGUUUAACCUGGGUGAGUGAAUGAAGGGCUGAAGGAUUAUCACAUUCUUAGGCUAUAAUUUAUGUUUAUGUCAGGCAAGGGAACACUGUUCA
RNAcentral lists this long non-coding RNA (552 nucleotides) under Bos indicus x Bos taurus (hybrid cattle). RNAcentral describes it as "lncRNA (ENSBIXG00005001317.1)". The record is from RNAcentral. Lineage: Eukaryota; Metazoa; Chordata; Mammalia; Artiodactyla; Bovidae.